AGGAGAUGGUACGCAACCUUUAAUAGCUUUUGUGUCAUAGAUUUACUUUCAUAAAUCUUUAGAGAAAAAGCAAUGGAUAUAUUGAUAGCCAGUCGAUUUCCUCAUGAGCAUGCCAAAGGAGACAACUUUUGAAUUAUAACCUAAACUUUCUUCGUGGGAAAAAGAAAAAUUCUUUUGCUUGAUUACUAGGAUGGGAUAGAAUACAACAGAAUGAUUAAAAAAAAAAAAAGGAUAAGGGC
This 239-nucleotide long non-coding RNA is filed under the name Elaeis guineensis (African oil palm). Its description in RNAcentral is "long non-coding RNA (EGUI_LNC028559)". Lineage: Eukaryota; Viridiplantae; Streptophyta; Magnoliopsida; Arecales; Arecaceae. The record is from RNAcentral.